UGAGCGGACGCGUGUUGUCGUCGUUCCUGUUCUGGGUGCUUCGGCGUGGCGUUGGUGGCUCGGACUGUUCUGACUGUGUGUUUGUGCCUUGCUAGUGAUGUCUGGACAUGUUUCUCUGUUUGUACGCCUUGGAAGAUACGACCAGAAGCCGUUGGAUUUCGUGAAUGGAAGACGCUUUUGACAGAUUUGUUUCUGUGCACAAGACAAAUGGGCUGUCGCACUCCCGACGUAGGAAAUGAACACACACGUCGCUGAGAUCUUAAAAGACAAAGUAGGGUGUGCACUUCACCCAUGCAACUCCAAUGUCUGCUUCAUGGCAGUGCAAGCUUUUACAACCGUGCCCUUGAAUGUAACAAGCCAAAUAAACUGGAUAACAGAGAAAAGUUUCCUGGUUCUUUUGCCACUAUGUUCGC
This is a long non-coding RNA of Ornithodoros turicata, 413 nucleotides long. RefSeq lists it as uncharacterized. The record is from RefSeq and is a predicted model, not a curated record. The transcript has 3 exons. NCBI's taxonomy places the organism in Eukaryota, Metazoa, Arthropoda, Arachnida, Ixodida, Argasidae.